GGAAGACGCGGGAAAGUGGGGCGGGGAUGAGGGAGGGUCGUGGGGUGAAUGUGAAUGACUGGGGGUAAAGCGUGGGCAGGCGGUUGGUUAAGGGGGAUGUGAAAGCCCUGGGCUCAACCUAGGAAUAGCAUUGCGAACUGGCGAACUAGAGUCUUGUAGAGGGGGGGAGAAUUCCAGGUGUAGCGGUGAAAUGCGUAGAGAUCUGGAGGAAUACCGGUGGCGAAGGCGGCCCCCUGGACAAAGACUGACGCUCAUGCACGAAAGCGUGGGGAGCAAACAGGAUUAGAUACCCUAGUAGUC
Molecule: ribosomal RNA, 300 nt
Filed under: uncultured Lactobacillus sp.
Lineage: Bacteria; Bacillati; Bacillota; Bacilli; Lactobacillales; Lactobacillaceae
Description: bacterial SSU rRNA
Rfam family: Bacterial small subunit ribosomal RNA (bases 53-300)
Source: RNAcentral